RNAcentral lists this long non-coding RNA (1056 nucleotides) under Pan troglodytes (chimpanzee). RNAcentral's name for it is "long non-coding RNA NONPTRT012369". The record is from RNAcentral. Lineage: Eukaryota; Metazoa; Chordata; Mammalia; Primates; Hominidae.
UGAGUGGGACUAACCUGCUGUCCUCUUGCCUUGGACCUUGUGUUCCAGCACUGUGUCAUGAGUCUCUGCAGCAGCAGCUACAGUGAGUUAGGACUGCAGCUGAUCAUCGAUGUGCUGACUCUGAGGAACAGUUCCUAUUGGCUGGUGAGGACAGAGCUUCUGGAAACCCUUGCGGAGAUUGACUUCAGGCUGGUGAGCUUUUUGGAGGCAAAAGCAGAAAACUUACACAGAGGGGCUCAUCAUUAUACAGGGCUUUUGAAACUGCAAGAACGAGUGCUCAAUAAUGUUGUCAUCCAUUUGCUUGGAGAUGAAGACCCCAGGGUGCGACAUGUUGCCGCAGCAUCAUUAAUUAGGCUUGUCCCAAAGCUGUUUUAUAAAUGUGACCAAGGACAAGCUGAUCCAGUAGUGGCCGUGGCAAGAGAUCAAAGCAGUGUUUACCUGAAACUUCUCAUGCAUGAGACGCAGCCUCCAUCUCAUUUCUCCGUCAGCACAAUAACCAGAAUAUAUAGAGGCUAUAACCUACUACCAAGCAUAACAGAUGUCACUAUGGAAAAUAACCUUUCAAGAGUUAUUGCAGCAGUUUCUCAUGAACUAAUCACAUCAACCACCAGAGCACUCACAUUUGGAUGCUGUGAAGCUUUGUGUCUUCUUUCCACUGCCUUCCCAGUUUGCAUUUGGAGUUUAGGUUGGCACUGUGGAGUGCCUCCACUGAGUGCCUCAGAUGAGUCUAGGAAGAGCUGUACUGUUGGGAUGGCCACAAUGAUUCUGACCCUGCUCUCGUCAGCUUGGUUCCCAUUGGAUCUCUCAGCCCAUCAAGAUGCUUUGAUUUUGGCCGGAAACUUGCUUGCAGCCAGUGCUCCCAAAUCUCUGAGAAGUUCAUGGGCCUCUGAAGAAGAAGCCAACCCAGCAGCCACCAAGCAAGAGGAGGUCUGGCCAGCCCUGGGGGACCGGGCCCUGGUGCCCAUGGUGGAGCAGCUCUUCUCUCACCUGCUGAAGGUGAUUAACAUUUGUGCCCACGUCCUGGAUGACGUGGCUCCUGGACCCGCAAUAAAGGUA